GGGGAAUAUUGGACAAUGGGGGCAACCCUGAUCCAGCCAUGCCGCGUGUGUGAAGAAGGCCUUCGGGUUGUAAAGCACUUUAAGCGAGGAGGAAGGUCUUUGAACUAAUAUUUCAAAGAAUUGACGUUACUCGCAGAAUAAGCACCGGCUAACUCUGUGCCAGCAGCCGCGGUAAUACAGAGGGUGCAAGCGUUAAUCGGAAUUACUGGGCGUAAAGCGCGCGUAGGCGGUAUGUUAAGUCGGAUGUGAAAUCCCUGGGCUCAACCUAGGCAUUGCAUCCGAUACUGGCACACUAGAGUGUGGGAGAGGAAGGUAGAAUUCCAGGUGUAGCGGUGAAAUGCGUAGAGAUCUGGAGGAAUACCGAUGGCGAAGGCAGCCUUCUGGCCUAACACUGACGCUGAGGUGCGAAAGCAUGGGGAGCAAAC
This 425-nucleotide ribosomal RNA is filed under the name uncultured bacterium. Its description in RNAcentral is "bacterial SSU rRNA". It matches the Rfam family "Bacterial small subunit ribosomal RNA", at positions 356 to 773 of the family's 1533-position model. The record is from RNAcentral.